Corvus hawaiiensis (hawaiian crow) is the source of this 3720-nucleotide long non-coding RNA. RefSeq lists it as uncharacterized. Lineage: Eukaryota; Metazoa; Chordata; Aves; Passeriformes; Corvidae. The record is from RefSeq and is a predicted model, not a curated record. The transcript is spliced from 2 exons.
CACCAGUGCUGGGUAUGAAAUGAUCUGUAUGGAAUGGUCUGGGGCUGACACGGAAAGGGACCUUUAAAGCUCUCUGUGUCUGCUUUUACUGUUCUAAAUUCCCUCUUUUAGGUUACAAACGUUUGUGGCUUUCCUUGCUGCUCUUAAUCCUCACGUUCCAUUGCAGAUUUUGUGUGCCUUGAGCAGUGAGUGAGGUGGCUGUGACUCAGAGACUACAGGGAACAAAACUCUCCCUGUUCCCUGUUACUGUCUGUGCAUCCAUUGUUUUUCCCUGAGUGCCUGCAAGGUGCUUCUCCAAAGUUCAGCAGAUUCCAGGAUAGUUUUCCUGAAAGGUUGGUUUAGGGAAUCCAGCCAGUUGGGAUUCAAUUUGGAUGGAUCCCUAUGGAUUAUUUGGGCUUUCAUUAAAUGAAACACAUUAAAUGUGUGGGAUUGUUUGCUUUCAGCACUGUCACAUUGGACAAACUCAUCCUGCAGCAGGGAGGAGAAAAAUGCAGUUUUUCAUCUAUAGAACACAUCUUUGUGUUAAUUUGGAAGUUCCUUGAGGUGGGAAAGCAGUACUGGGGAAGGACAACAUGGGAUACAAUCUCCUUGAAGCAGGAAUGAGGCUGAAAGUAAUUCUGGUCUCUGCUGGACCUGGUGGGAAUCCCUUUGGAUCUCUGUGUCUCAGGUUUGACUCCAAAUGAGCAGAAUGAUGCUGCCAUUUGUAAUUUAAUAAUGAAAACUAGGGGGGUGGGAAUGUCAGAGGUGUUCUGGUGCAUCCUUUGGAGGAUUUUAGGCCUCCCCAUGACUCCCUCUGGGAAGUCAAUAUCUUGUUGUUGUUGUAGGAGGGAGCUUGUUUGGUUUGGGUUUUUUUGCAGUAGGGGACACACCAAAACAGAGCAUUCUCUAAAUGCAUCUCUCAGGUGCUGAGCAGAGAGCAAAAAUCACCUUCCUUGACCUCCUCACACACAAAAUCCAUGUCAUUGCCCUUGGGUUUUUUCCAGUUGGAGUGAACAGUCCCUUUUUUCUCCUUGUGUUUAUUCCUGUACAAUAAGGAGCACUGUCAUCGUGAGUCACAUUGGGGCUGCUGCACCAGCCUGGGACUUGAGAGCUUCCGAGAAAAACUGCUAAAAACUGGGGGGAAAUUGUUCCAGAGCUAAACUCUAAAAAGAGCAGCAAGCCUGGCAAUUGACUGUGUUAAUUUUCGUGCUGUUCUUGGUUUGGGUGUAUUUUUAGAUAAUCAUCUCAUUUUGCACAUGGAUCUUUGCCUGCUGUCAAAUGACCAAAAUAAUUGGGAAUGCUGAAUCUUGGCACUCAGCUUUGUGGAACUCCACUGGAAGGGGCUAUGGGAGUGCAAAACAACAACUGCUUCAAACUGGGAAGGUUUCCUUAGAGAAAGGCUGGAGGCAGCUGCAGCUCUCGUCUUGCUGCAGGUUUAUUUCCAGUGGUGUUGAGCAAUUCUGCCCUUCGGAGCGGUUUGUGAUUUCAUCUACCCAAACUGAGCAAUUCUGUCUCUCACCAGCACCACAAGUAUUGGAUCAGCAGUUCUUUGUUUAUAUUCCAUGGAGAGAUUUCUAAAUAUUGCAGGCUUUCAAAUGUAGUUUUUUCUCUAGCAAAAUAUUGCUGGUAUCUCAUAGAAGCAGAGCUGCAGAGCUCUGAAUGCUCAGGUGUUAGAGCCACUGGAGUGGCCCAUUCCAUGAGCUCACCCUGGACAGGUCAUUCCUCAAUUGCUGCUCCAACUCUCCUCCUUGUACUUGCUAUCGAUGGCCACAAAUUUAUUUUUUAAAGUGAAACAUUCUGGAUAUUCUGAUGAUAGAAGAUUCUGUUAAAUGCUGCAGCUUUUAAGAAAAAGUCCUGCAGUCCCAGUCUGAAAACAGUGCUGCACAUUCAUUUACUCAGAGCUUUGCAAACGCUCUAAGCCUCCUCCCAAUGACUCAAAAGGGGUGUUUUUGAGAAGGGCAACGUGGGUUUUUAUUUAUUUUUUUAUUGCAGCUGCAGCAAAUGAGACAGAAAUUCUCAGAAGUGCUUUGUGGCUGCUGAGGUGGGGAGCAGCCUCUCAGCAGCCCCUCGUGCCUUGUGCUGGCACACCUCAGUGUGAGUGGAGCACUGAGGGCAGUGAUUCUCAGCGAAAUCAAGCUGUAUUUUUAGAUCCAGGGCAGUAGAAGCAGACAUCAAACAGCAGCCUGGUGCUGGCACCUGGGGAGGUGGAUUUGAUUUGGCUGCUUGUCUAAAUCACAAAAACUCCCCAGGCACUGGUGCUGCAGCACCAACCAUAAACUGUGGGCUCAGGGCACGAGGAGAGCUGGAUGUGAGCCCUGCUCCAGUUAGAUUUGUGGAGCUACACCUUCACAGUUUGGGGUUUUUGUAACCAGAGCCCAUUGUUGUGUUCAGCUGCUAUAAUAAAUGGGCUCUGUGCAGUGAUGCUCUCCAACAAUGGGCUGUAGGAAAAGCCUCUCAUUUAUUCUGGAGAUGCAAAGGCAGAUUCUGGUCCUGGCUCUGGGUAUUUCUGGGCAGAUUCCAGCAGCUCAGAGUAGAAACACUCACCUGUGCAGAGGCUGCUGCAGAGCUCAGAGGGAAGGAGCCAGUGAGUGGUUGUGUAUUUUCUCUAAUUACAUUUCAAGAGCCCCAUACAGUGAGAUUUCUAAUGUUAAGCAGCAGGAAUUCCUUCCAGGGACACAGCAGGGAUACCCUAAGAAAUCUUCUCUACACAGAGAAGCAAAAUAAGAACCUGAAGGGAUAUUGAGACACAAACCUGUAAGAAGAGUUCUUAAAAACAGAGCCUGCUUCCUUGCCUGGGCUUGCAGCUCUGAGCCUUUUAAGAACUGAAAUUCACUUUUCCAGGGUUUGGUUGUUGUUUCACAAGGCUUCUGCUGCUGCCUCAGCAGAGGCACUGAGCAGCAAAUUGCUUUUGAUGCAUUCCAAGCAGAUUUUUCUGGCUGGUUGUCAGUGACAGUGAUGGCUUUGACGUGGGGCUGCUCUGCAGAAUUAAUCCGAGGACACCCAGCAGCUGUUCCAGGGUCAUUGUUCAGCCUGCCCCAGCCCUCCUCUGGGGGACACCCUUUAAUGAGGGGUUUAUCCAGUGCAGGACUCACAGUCCCUCAGCUCCUCCAUCGUGGCAGAUGCUGCCCUGUUCUGUGGCAAGGACUUUAGCACCUGGCCUGGGGUGCUCUAAUUUUGGCUGUGGAACCCCGUGUUCUGUAAGACACCGGAAUAAAUAUCCAAUAUUCCUCCUGAGCAGUUCCUUCUCUGGGCUUUCCAUGUGCCCUGGACCUCCAGCUGGCUGGAAUCACAGUUCCUGUUCUGACAGCAGGAAAUGUGUCAAGCAAGACAAGCAAGAGGAGAUUCUUGAGGAGUGUCUUGUGAGCAACUCCAUAGGAAUGAGGUGGAACUGAUUUUGAGAAAUAGGAUUUUGAGUGAUACCUGAGAUUCCUUCUGGGCUAAACAGUAAAGUUUCCCUUUUUUUAACGCCCCUGUUUUUUGCAGGCUCUAGGAUACAUUAGAGAACACUGGCUUAGUGAAGACAUUUCCUUUAAGCUGCCCCCUCCUCACCCUUCCUUUCCUCCCUGUGCCUUUGGGGUGAUCCCAUUGUUUUCCAUAAAGGGAAGUUUCUGUAUAGAAUAAAACAUCCUGUUACAUUUUCAGAGUUAAAGCUUGGAACAUUUGAGCAGUAGAUCUGUAUCUGCUGCAGUCAUUCAUUGCAAGAGCUGGUGAGAAGAACUUGAAUAAAAGCUGAAAUUAUAA